This 376-nucleotide long non-coding RNA is filed under the name Triticum aestivum (bread wheat). Its description in RNAcentral is "long non-coding RNA (TAES_LNC000566)". The record is from RNAcentral. Lineage: Eukaryota; Viridiplantae; Streptophyta; Magnoliopsida; Poales; Poaceae.
UCACCGUAGGAUACGCCUCUUCUUCCUCUGCGGGCUGCGGCCUCACCCAUGAGUAGCGCCGCCGGCCUCCGCAUCUCCUGCGCCGUCACCCCCUUUGUCCUUGACGCGCCACCGCGUGCGCGAGCUUCCCCGGCCGCCGCUCGAAUAGCCAAUCCAAGUCGCAUCAGCUCGACGCCUUUCGCCUUGUCCGACGACCUCCUCCCUCUGGACCGGCUCCGGGGGAUGACUUCGAAUGGGUGGGAGGCGCAGAGGUCGGAGAACUUCGAGCAGGUUAGCAGUGCAAUUACACAUUCGCAGCUCCUCGAAUCAGUCAAGAAGUCGAUUCAAUGCUAAUUACAGUACAGCUUUCGGUCAGUCAACGUUUGGCGCCCCACAU